AGAUGUAGUGAUAUAGUUUAACAUUAUAGUACAGCAAUAUAUUUGAUAUUGUAUGUGAUAAUAUAGUUUAGUCUGAGUAUAGUGUAAUAUACAAUAUUUAAUCUCAAUAUCAACUGAAAUAAUGACCGUUUUAAAACUGUUAGUUUAUUAGUUUAGCUAAUAUUGCCAUUUUUCUUCAUUUUCCAUCAUAUUUCCACACAAAACUAUUCCAAACAAAAUAUUUAAUAAAUUACACUACAACAGCUGACUGACAGAUAGUGAACCUCGGGCCUUUGGGGUCCCUGGUGGGUCUGGGGCCCCGGGUCUGGGGCCCCGGGUCAGGUACCGUGGCACACCAGCUUCACUCCCACCUCCUCCAAGAUGGCCCUGGUUGCCUUCAUGGACUGGCAACUGUGUCGUAAUUACGACUGACCGCACAUGAGCACCCCAACAAAGUGGUAAAUAUGGCUGCGGUAGUCGUGACUUUAUAUGCUAACACUACCGAAGUUGCUGAAAUGCUUUACAGGUUCCUUUGAUGCAGUUAAUUACUGGAAGAAAUGCCUUCACUUCUUCCAAAGUUACCAUGGCGUGUACUCAUCAGGAACGAGCAGGAUGAAUAUACAUUAGCAACAUGAUGUAUGUGUAUUAUAUGGUAAUGUCACUUUGUUACAGCCUGUUGCAAUCUGUAUUUACAUCUGGACUUUAAGUAAAAUUGCCCAAGAAAUAGAUACAUAUUCAUUUAUUGUGGUGUAAAGAAAAUCACAAGAUAAUUUUAAAUGGCCUACCUGUAAACCUAAUUUAUCUAUUCACACAAAUAAAUAAAUAAUUAUAAUUAAACUUGCAUGGCUCACUGGUAUAAUCCUUUCAUGAAGAAAUGGUGGUAGGCCAGUUUCUUCUUUGGUGCAGUGUAUUCCUGUGGAGACAGGAAAAAAGGAAUCUCCCAAAAACAGAAAUCACAGCCAAACUCUCCUCCAGACUUUUUAUGACCUUGUAUUUCUUCAUCAGUCUGACAGUCCACUGGCUUUGUGAGGGAGCUGUCGUGACUUUUAGUACCUUGAGUCAUUUGCUCAGUCGAAGUAAAGGGAUCGAUAAAACACCCUGGUGCUGGGCUGUGGCCAGAUUUGUCACAUUUUUAUUCACGGGAUGCUGCAGUGUCCUUGUAAAGGAAUAAAGUUAUUCUAAACUAAGA
Siniperca chuatsi (mandarin fish) is the source of this 1168-nucleotide long non-coding RNA. RefSeq lists it as uncharacterized. NCBI's taxonomy places the organism in Eukaryota, Metazoa, Chordata, Actinopteri, Centrarchiformes, Sinipercidae. The record is from RefSeq and is a predicted model, not a curated record. The transcript is spliced from 2 exons.